CCGCCCCCGCAAUCCAGUAGGAUCUCGUCUUCACUUGAUUACAUCUGCAACAGCUAUUUCCAAUCAAGGUCAUAGUCACAGGUUCCAGGUGGACUUGAAUUUUAGCUGCUAUUCAACCUGAUAGAGACUGCUGUCAACCCAUUUUGCAUAUGAGGAGACUGAGGCUCGGCGAGGUCGCUCAGCUAGUGGGUACUGGGAUCUGAACCCAGGCCGACUCCCUCCAAAGCCCGUGUUCUUAGCUGCCUCCCUGGAACACAGAAAGACAGCUCCAGGCCGUUUGUGUGAAUAGCCUUGAGGUUUCCUUGUGUGGAUACAGUGUGUCAAUGGCCGCAUGGGCCUCUCGCUGUGGAGGAUGGCCUGGACUUCCUUACCGCAUGGCGACUGGGUUCCAAGAGGAUCAGCUCCAAUGUGCAAAUGCUUAUUAAGACUCUGCUUGCAUUGUAUUUGCUAGGAUCCCCUUGGCCAAUGCAAGCCACACGACCAAGCCCAGAGCCAAGGGAACCACCUGAAAGGCGUGGUCCACUGGGGGCCACCAUGGAAGUCUACCAUCUUGCAUUUUGGGGUAGAGGGCGCCAUUGCUACAUGUUUCCCUAAAGCCAGAUAAUCUGGGGAGCUGGGCUCUUGACCAAAGUCCUCUCACUCAUCUGUCAGCUUCUGCAACUCUCUGUGAGCCCUGCCAGUUAAUUCACCUGUGGUAACUUGAACUAACAUUUACACCCAGCAGUCCCAGAAGCCGUGAGUUAUUUACUGUCUGACGUGGGCUUGAUCCUCCACGAUGGCCUUGUUCUAAAGCUGGAGCCGUGCUUUCCUUUGGCCUUGAUGUGAUUGGGGAUUGAUGACUUCUUUUCUUUUGGUAGCUCUCUUCCUUUGCUGCACGAGUGAUGUGCCUUCAUUCUAGAAAAUAUAGACAAACAAAAGGAAGAGAGUUGAAAUCUCCUAUAGAGGCAUGUCCCUUCAAGGAAGCACUCAUUGCCCAGAUGCUGGGCGUGCUGUUGGCGGCCAGCCUUCAGCUGUCUGCGCCUUCAGGGGUGGCCUCAGCUGCCAUCAGAGCUGCCUCAACUGACGUCACAUGCUUUAUGGCAUGGCUCACAUCCCAUGACUGACGGAUCCAGGAGGCAUAAAGGACUGUCCUAGGUCUGACGCGCCCUGCAUCGAAGAUCUAGCUGUCCCUCGGGCCGCUUCCUGCUUCCUGUCUCUCCCUUCCACAGCUGUUGCUCCCGAGAGCUGUCCUCAGUAAGCACGCUUUGCGCUAAAGUCCAUCUCAGGGGCUGCUUCCUGGGAACCCACGUGCGACGUCACAUGUCAUCAUCUCCUCCUUGGGAGAUAACCGCUGUGAACGUUUUGACACUUUCAAGGCGAUGCUUUAAAAUUCUCUCCCUCUUGGGGCUGGCCCCGUGGCCGAGUGGUUAAGUUCGCGCACUCCGCUGCAGGCGGCCCAGUGUUUCGUUGGUUCGAAUCCUGGGCACGGACAUGGCACUGCUCAUCAAACCACGCUGAGGCAGCGUCCCACAUGCCACAACUAGAAGGACCCACAACGAAGAAUAUACAACUAUGUACUGGGGGGCUUUGGGGAGAAAAAAGGAAAAAAAAUAAAAUG
This 1597-nucleotide long non-coding RNA is filed under the name Equus asinus (donkey). RNAcentral describes it as "lncRNA (ENSEASG00005023934.1)". The record is from RNAcentral. Lineage: Eukaryota; Metazoa; Chordata; Mammalia; Perissodactyla; Equidae.